RNAcentral lists this long non-coding RNA (603 nucleotides) under Salmo salar (Atlantic salmon). Its description in RNAcentral is "lncRNA (ENSSSAG00000119468.1)". Lineage: Eukaryota; Metazoa; Chordata; Actinopteri; Salmoniformes; Salmonidae. The record is from RNAcentral.
CCAGGUAACAGACUGGGACUGUCAUGGUGUCAGGUAACAGACUGGGACUGUCAUGGUGCCAGGUAACAGACUGGGACUGUCAUGGUGCCAGGUAACAGGCUGGGACUGUCAUGGUGCCAGGUAACAGACUGGGACUGUCAUGGUGCCAGGUAACAGGCUGGGACAGUCAUGGUGCCAGGUAACAGGCUGGGACUGUCAUGGUGCCAGGUAACAGGCUGGGACUGUCAUGGUGCCAGGUAACAGACUGGGACUGUCAUGGUGCCAGGUAACAGACUGGGACUGUCAUGGUGCCAGGUAACAUCAGACUGGGACUGUCAUGGUGCCAGGUAACAGACUGGGACUGUCAUGGUGCCAGGUAACAGACUGGGACUGUCAUGGUGCCAGGUAACAGGCUGGGACUGUCAUGGUGCCAGGUAACAUCAGGCUGUUUGAAACAGACUUUCAGACCAUUAAGGAGCGAGCAGAGAGAGAGAAGGACACCACCAGUGACAUGCCCUCCCACAAGACAAACUCCACCAACACCACCCUCACCCCUACUCUCCCCACCCAAAAAGGCACAUCCAGCACCACCCUCACCCCUACUCUCCCCACCCAAAAAGGCCC